AUUGAACGCUGGCGGCAGGCCUAACACAUGCAAGUCGAGCGAGCGGCGGACGUGUGAGUAAUGUAUGUGAAACUGCCUGAUGGAGGGGGAUAACUACUGGAAACGGUAGCUAUUACCGCAUACCUUCAGCUGGACCCAGAUGGGAUUAGCUGGUAGGUGGGGUAAUGGCUCACCUAGGCGACGAUCCCUAGCUGGUCUGAGAGGGUGACCAGCCACACGGGGACGGGGACACGGCCCAGACUCCUACGGGGGGCAGCAGUGGGGAUUAUGGCACAAUGGGCGAAAGCCUGAUGCAGCCAGGCCGCGUGUGUGAAGAAGGCCUUCGGGUUGUAAAGCACUUUGAGCGAGGAGGCGUUACCCACAGAAGAAGCACCGGCUAACUCCGUGCCAGCAGCCGCGGUAAUAC
This 406-nucleotide ribosomal RNA is filed under the name uncultured bacterium. RNAcentral's name for it is "partial 16S ribosomal RNA". It matches the Rfam family "Bacterial small subunit ribosomal RNA", at positions 29 to 526 of the family's 1533-position model. The record is from RNAcentral.